RNAcentral lists this ribosomal RNA (357 nucleotides) under uncultured bacterium. RNAcentral describes it as "bacterial SSU rRNA". It matches the Rfam family "Bacterial small subunit ribosomal RNA", at positions 339 to 712 of the family's 1533-position model. The record is from RNAcentral.
CUACGGGGGGCAGCAGUGAGGAAUAUUGGACAAUGGGCGCAAGCCUGAUCCAGCAACGCCGCGUGGAGGAAGAAGGCCUUCGGGUUGUAAACUCCUUUUCUGGGGGAAGAGGAAGGACGGUACCCCAGGAAUAAGACACGGCUAACUACGUGCCAGCAGCCGCGGUAACACGUAGGUGUCGAGCGUUAUCCGGAAUUACUGGGCGUAAAGCGCACGCAGGCGGCACGACAAGUCUCGUGUGAAAGCUCCCGGCUCAACCGGGAGAGGUCGCGGGAAACUGUCGUGCUUGAGGCAGGGAGAGGGGCGUGGAAUUCCCGGUGUAGCGGUGGAAUGCGUAGAUAUCGGGAGGAACACCAG